Non-coding RNA from Cinara cedri, 235 nucleotides. Lineage: Eukaryota; Metazoa; Arthropoda; Insecta; Hemiptera; Aphididae. The record is from the annotation of a GenBank genome assembly.
UUUAGGAUAACACAAAUACUCAGCGAUUCGGAACGGAUGGCCUGAAUUUUGAAACGAAUUAUACCUAAAUUCUCGCGUCUGUAUACACGCGAACAAACUUUCUGUGAACGAACAAAUUCGAUGUCAUUAUGUAAAUGACGUGUAUACAGCGGUGCUCGUCGAUACAAAUCUACUGAAAAUUACCAUUCGAGUUUCCAGCGCAUUCUAGGACAUCAAAUGAAUUUACCUUUCUAUA